CCCAGCCUCCCCACAAGAACCCAGACACCAGCCGCCUGCAGCCGGAGAGCAGCGACAUGGACGCAGCCAUCUUGGCAGCCCUCCGACGGCUUCCGCUUCCAGGCAUUCCUAGCACCAAAAAGCAUUGGCAAGAGUAGGCCUAGGACGGGGAAGGAGCUGCAGAAAAUAUGUAUUCCAUGGCAAAGGAGCUGUAGGAACAAAUGCCAAAAGGAAAGAGGUUCCCAGCCAGAAUCUGCUCCUUGCAUUUGAGAACUUUGUAUGGAUUUCCCCUCAUCAAACUUCCUUUGAGACUAGCAGCUUUGACAUAUGUAAAGGCGUGAGCUGCAGUGACCAGGAACAGGUCCAAACCAUGCAGGAGAAUGAAGCUACGAUUACUCAGAGCAAGAAGACUCGUUUGCUCAGAACUAAUGGCCAAGAUGAAGUCUGACAGGUCCACACAAGUGGGCUACUCUCCCAGCAGGGAAUUUACAAGGUCUUGCCUUAUGUAGCCACUUCCACUUACUAAUGGAAAUGAAAACCAGAUAUGCCCUUCCCAGCAGCUGCCUCGCCACCACCAGAGCUUUACAUAACUCUUGCUCCACCGUCCUUCUCUAGGGGAGCUCUAUAAAAUAAACAGAUUCAUUACAUGCGGAUUUCCUCUUCCUCUCCUCUGGUUAAACAAAAAGCCUAUUAG
Podarcis muralis (Common wall lizard) is the source of this 673-nucleotide long non-coding RNA. RefSeq lists it as uncharacterized. The record is from RefSeq and is a predicted model, not a curated record. NCBI's taxonomy places the organism in Eukaryota, Metazoa, Chordata, Lepidosauria, Squamata, Lacertidae.